RNAcentral lists this unclassified non-coding RNA (250 nucleotides) under Schizothecium glutinans. Its description in RNAcentral is "sequence contains 5.8S rRNA gene". The stretch from base 1 to 53 matches the Rfam family "5.8S ribosomal RNA", at positions 102 to 154 of the family's 154-position model. The record is from RNAcentral. Lineage: Eukaryota; Fungi; Ascomycota; Sordariomycetes; Sordariales; Schizotheciaceae.
GAACGCACAUUGCGCCCGCCAGUAUUCUGGCGGGCAUGCCUGUUCGAGCGUCAUUUCAACCAUCAAGCCCCUGUGCUUGUGUUGGAGCCCUGCGGCUGCCGCAGCCUCCCAAACCCAGUGGCGGGCUCGUCGUCGUACCGAGUGCAGUAAAUUUACCACGCUCAGGGCACGCGACGGGUGACCGGCCGUAAAAAACCCCCCCUUCUCAAGGUUGACCUCGGAUCAGGUAGGAAUACCCGCUGAACUUAAG